ACACGUAAGCAACCUACCCUAAAGACGAGGAUAACCAUUGGAAACAGUGGCUAAGACUGGAUAGGAAGAUAAAAGGCAUCUUUUAUCUUUUAAAAGACCUAGUAAUAGGUAUGCUUUAGGAGGGGCUUGCGCCAUAUUAGUUAGUUGGUAGGGUAAUGGCCUACCAAGACGAUGAUGUGUAGCUGGACUGAGAGGUUGAACAGCCACAUUGGGACUGAGACACGGCCCAAACUCCUACGGGAGGCAGCAGUAGGGAAUUUUCGGCAAUGGAGGAAACUCUGACCGAGCAACGCCGCGUGAAUGACGAAGUACUUCGGUAUGUAAAGUUCUUUUAUCAAGGAAGAAAAGCAAAUGGCGAACCAUUUGUUUGCCGGUACUUGAUGAAUAAGCCCCGGCUAAUUAUGUGCCAGCAGCCGCGGUAAGACAUAAGGGGCAAGUGUUAUCCGGAAUUAUUGGGCGUAAAGGGUGCGUAGGCGGUCUAGUAAGUCAGUGGUGUAAUGGCAACGCUUAACGUUGUCCGGCUAUUGAAACUGCUAAACUUGAGUUAGAUAGAGGCGAGUGGAAUUCCAUGUGUAGCGGUAAAAUGCGUAAAUAUAUGGAGGAACACCAGAGGCGUAGGCGGCUCGCUGGGUCUUAACUGACGCUGAGGCACGAAAGCGUGGGGAGCAAACAGGAUUAGAUACCCUGGUAGUCCACGCCGUAAACGAUGAGUACUAAGUGUCGGGUUAAACCGGUACUGAAGUUAACACAUUAAGUACUCCGCCUGAGUAGUACGUACGCAAGUAUGAAACUUAAAGGAAUUGACGGGACUCCGCACAAGCGGUGGAUCAUGUUGUUUAAUUCGAAGAUACCCGAAAAACCUUACCAGGUCUUGACAUGUUUUUGCAAAAUGAUAGUAAUAUCGUGGAGGUUACCAGAAACACAGGUGGUGCAUGGUUGUCGUCAGCUCGUGUCGUGAGAUGUUAGGUUAAGUCCUAAAACGAGCGAAACCCUUAUCGUUAGUUGCCAGCACGUUAUGGUGGGGACUUUAACGAGACUGCCAAUGAUAAAUUGGAGGAAGGUGAGGAUCACGUCAAAUCAGCAUGCCCCUUAUGACCUGGGCUACAAACGUGAUACAAUGGCUGUUACAAAGGGUAGCUGAAACGCAAGUUCUUGGCCAAUCCCCAAAAACAGUCCCAGUCCGGAUUGAAGUCUGCAACUCGACUUCAUGAAGUUGGAAUCGCUAGUAAUCGCGAAUCAGCAUGUCGCGGUGAAUACGUUCUCGGGGUUUGUACACACCGCCCGUCAAACCACGAAAGUUGGCAAUACCCCAAAACGGUAGCCUAACUC
This 1329-nucleotide ribosomal RNA is filed under the name Candidatus Phytoplasma australasiaticum. RNAcentral's name for it is "bacterial SSU rRNA". It matches the Rfam family "Bacterial small subunit ribosomal RNA", at positions 113 to 1441 of the family's 1533-position model. The record is from RNAcentral. Lineage: Bacteria; Bacillati; Mycoplasmatota; Mollicutes; Acholeplasmatales; Acholeplasmataceae.